RNAcentral lists this long non-coding RNA (694 nucleotides) under Mus pahari (shrew mouse). RNAcentral describes it as "lncRNA (MGP_PahariEiJ_G0006499.1)". Lineage: Eukaryota; Metazoa; Chordata; Mammalia; Rodentia; Muridae. The record is from RNAcentral.
AAGCAGAAGGCUUCUGCGCGGGAAUGAAAGUGCGCAUGCGUAAGUGGGAGCAUGUUGCCGGUUUGAGUCUAACACUAGAUUUUAUUGGCUGUAGACACGCCCAGCAUCUUCUUGAGCUCCUCCCUGAGGUGGAUGGGCAGCUAGCUGCAGGUGGCACAGGAUGAUACACAUCUUUUCUCACGCCGCUUUGCCCUCUAGCUCCAAGAUCUCGGCUGCCAGAUGCAGCGACAGAGCUUCUUUGUACAUACAGCCCUGGACACACUUUCAGCAGCAACUCUUCUUGCGCGAGCUGGUGCAAGAACAGGAUUCAUCUGUGGCACAGGAACAGUUGGUGUCAACCGAUGGAGGCAGAGGAGAGACCAGAGCCGGUAGGUAUGCUAGGGGAGAUGACUUCAACUGAAGUGGAGUAAAUAAAGAUGAUUGCAGAACUUGGAAGCUGACGAAAUCAGUUUUGGAAAAGAGCUGGCUUGGAGCGUGACAGAAGGGAGAGAUGGAAAGAAUGCUGGGAGUCCAACUCAAGACUGAUGUGUGCUUGGCAGGCAGUCUACCCCAGUCUCAGUCCUCUAGCCUUUUGGCCUUUUUUCCUUUUUGGAGACAGGAUUGCAUCAUAGGGCAGCCUGGCCUCCUACACAGUCCUGCCUCAGUCUCUGGAGUGCUGGGAUUGUAGGCCUAUACCACCGCGCCUUUCUACAAU